Molecule: non-coding RNA, 3489 nt
Organism: Triticum urartu
Lineage: Eukaryota; Viridiplantae; Streptophyta; Magnoliopsida; Poales; Poaceae
Source: RefSeq, a predicted model, not a curated record
AAAUCGCAUCAAAGAAUCUUUUGGACGCCGUCACGGCUUAGGUCCUGUGCCCCAAAUCACUUUCUUCUCCAAAUCUACCUGCCUUCCCCCGACCACCGCCGCCCCCGACCACCUUCUGCAAGACCCUAGAUCCAGCUCCCUCCCGGACCACGCCGCAGAGCACACUUCGCCGCCCCCAACUACCACCAAGGAAUCCUCGCCUUCUCCAUGCUUUCCUCCCCGGCCAUAACCGCCUUCGUUCUCCAUGACCUAGCGCCGCCGCCAUCCUCUGCCACCGUGCUUCCCCGUGCAGCGGCUUCCGGGAUCUCCUCGAAUGCCGAAGGGAAAUCGGCAUGGGCAGGAGGGGAACCAAGCCUCUUCUGAGAUCCAUCCGGCGGCGCAUCGAAGUGUGGCGGGCGACGGCGCAUCUUCCUCUCAACCCCCAUCCAGCUCCGUUCAGCUCCAUUCGACAACGUCUCUUCCCAUCCUCUCCUUGUGAACUUCAGCACCACCUCCCGCUGCUCUAAUCCAUAGAUCGGCGCAGGUGAAGUCGGCAUCCUCUCUGGCGAGGUAAGGUUCCCCUCCGCCCAUCCUUCUCCUCAUCCUCUUCCUCUCUUCUCCUUACUCUUCCUCCCCUUCUCUGUUCUUGAUCCCCAAUGUUGCUCUCUGCUCUGUUUCUCUCUGUACAUGUACUGCUUUGCUGCUCUUGCUCUGUUUCUUCCGGUGCUAGUGCAGUGCAUAUAUAUAUGUAUAAUGGUGAUGGGUAGGACAUAGACGCUACUUACAAUAAUAAUUUGUUGAUGGCUAUUGACAAUUUGGGACUUGGAGAUGAGAGAGUUGGACUUCUGUUACUUGUUAUGCGGACUUAAGUUAUGCCAUUAGACUCUAAGAUUACUGACUUAUAUUGUUGUUGUGGAUGCCUAGAUGUGUACAUCUAUUGGAUUUGUUAUUUUGGUGUGCUUAUGAAUUAUUUUUGGUCUCCUUAUAAAUUAUUCUGUAGCUUUGUUACUGCUAUUUUCUGUCCCAUCCCUGAGUUUUAUUUGCUGUAUUUUAUUUGAAAAACUCGAAUUGGACAACUAUGUUUUGUAAUAUCGAUCUCUCUUGUUGCUGCAUUUGACGGGGAAGAAGUUCAGUCAAAGCCGCUCGAUUUGGACACGGCAUACAUGCAUAUAGUACCACCUGUGACUGGACUGCAGCAAGAGAUGCGUUGUUGGCAUGUAGGUUCAGCCAUCAGUCAGGGUGAUCGAUCAAUGGAGGUGGUGCUCGAAGCCUAACUACAAGCACUGUACUCAAGGCCUAACUUGGGCUCUACGUAUGUCUCCUCCCUAUACAUCUGAUGCAGAAGCUACAAGCAGCGCAUCCCCAUGACAGCUUCAGAUGCAUGAAUGGAUACUCCCAUAAGAGUUGGCACCUUGUCACACAUCGUAAGCACUACAAAAUUGUGAAGGAGGUCAGCCGCCACAACACUUCAUUUGCCUGCUUGUUGCCUGCAAAAGACGAUAGCUUAAGAAAAGUGAUCACAAAGGUAAAACAUAAAAAUAACACCAUCUCAUGUACUGAUCCUACCAUCUUUAGUUAUAAAUUAUGAUCAAUUAUUUCCUGGAAAAUUCUUUACGUGUUGGCUGUAUCUGGAUGCUAUGGAAAAGAAUAUAUCGAGCACAUUAUGUUACGUGUAUUUCUUAUAGCAGCUGGUGCUACUGAAAGUGGUGAUUUUACCUAUUUUCCUCUCAAUCCAGUUCAAAGUUCGUAUAAGAAUCCAUGUGUUUAAACGGUGGGUCUCCUUGCUAUAGUUAUUUUAGUUUACACAUUUUGAUUAUUCUGCAGGUUUCCGUCCAAAAACUUCCGUUGCUGAAAAACUCGCUAUCAUACGUGUUCUUCCAUUGCUAUUGUUUGGUAUUUUGGUUUCUCCUUCAAGUCAUCAAUAGUUAAAAGAAUAUUUGAGGAAAUUACUUAUGAAAAACACGAAGGAUGGUUCAUUAUCUAUGCAUCACACUGCCGAGAUCAUUGGUGCGAUCCGGUUUCUUUGGUUUGUAAUCUGACUAUACAUGCAGAAAAUAUCAUGAUAUUGUUGAAUAUGCACUAUUUUCAUGUAUUUUACCUCUUAUCAUGUGUAGCAUAUUGGAGGAGCACCAUGUAGUACUAUCUUUCGUAUUCUGUUGGAGAUGGUUGUGAGCUCUUAUACCAAUUUAAAAACCAGUGAUGCAGCUUUACAACUUUACUGAAAGCACUUGUAAAAUUACUGUUACAUGAAUGAAUCAGGGGUAUGGUAUGUUCCUUGUAGUACUAUGUAUUGAUUAAACACACAGGUACCCUAUGUUGUUGUGAAAGUUGAAUCGACUCAUGUUUUUCCAGAACUUAUUACUCUUGGUUCUGAUUAAAACUCGGCUGUAAAAUACACUAGUAUAGAUGCAUUAGGAGCUGUUGCUCAGCAUUUCAAAAGUGACAUGGUAUGGAAGCAUAAUUCUUUAAUUUUCUUCUAUACAUUAUACUCCCUUAGUCCAUGACUGCACUGCCAGGUUGUUGACAAGAUAGAUAUUAAAAUGGAUGACUUUCUUGAAGAUGGGUCACAAGAAGCUACUAUGUUGGUCAUUCAAGCACUUGCAAUAGCUGUGCCGCAUUCAACAGAUAGACUAUGUAAAUAUAUCCUACUCACUACAUUUUGACCAAAAUUUGCAUGGUUGAUUCGCUCACUCUUUGUUCACACAUCUUGAUAUUAAUAUGUUCUUCUAUUUCCUUUGACCUUGCAUACAUCUUUUAACCAAGAUAUUUAAACUUACAAGUGUCCCACCUACCGGAAAUGAUACUGAACGGGCAUCGUGAAAGAGCAAAUGUAUUCCGUGGAGCGUUGCGUGCUUUCGAUGCUACAGGUUGACCUUUAUCCAAAAUGGUCCAGUGUUUCACUUAUUUCAUAGAAGCCAUGAACUUAGUAUUGAGUCUGCCUCUAACCUUUAUCUGUAGUGCUGCUUGUGUCAUUUGUUUAUAAUCCCAGUAUAAUUUUGUAAGUUAUUUGCUCAUUAUUCACACCCUGAACAGUGUCUAGGCAAUAGAAACUGCAUUUUCAUUCAUGUAUGGACUGUAACAUCGUGCUAGAUUGUGCCUUUGUAGACUCAGGUUUAGAAAUUGAUUAUCUUCAGCAUGCAAAUGCACUUUCGAUUGAUCUCAGAUCUCAUUUCGCUAUUGUAGAUCAACAUUAUAAUUAAGGUAUUGUACACCUCUCCCGAAGGUUUGGCAAGAUCUUGAAGGUGUUGGAGGCUUGGCAAGAGCUGCAAGUUGGAGUGAUGAUACUUCCUUCCUCUAGCCAUUUCCUGUUCUCUUUUACGUUGUACUGCUUUAUCUUUAAGUGCUUCAAUGUACAUUGACUGCAAAAACAAAACCAUGGAACCAGGAAGCUGAAGCAUGUAUAUUGAAACAUAUGUAUCUGGUCUGUUAUGUUUAUGGAAUGAAGUUUCAGGUUUUGGAUGAGCCCUAUAUGUAACUUUGAUUGAAAUGAAUCUAUUAAGUUGUGUGAUC